This is a non-coding RNA of Salvelinus sp. IW2-2015, 2454 nucleotides long. NCBI's taxonomy places the organism in Eukaryota, Metazoa, Chordata, Actinopteri, Salmoniformes, Salmonidae. The record is from RefSeq and is a predicted model, not a curated record.
GGACAAACCAAUGUUUUCUCUGGUAGGCAUAACCUACCUGGCACCCCUAUAAAUAACCAAGUCAAAACCGUUACAAUCUCAGCAGACUAGACCGGCAUAUAGACUCUCACACAAAGCUCAACAGAGCACAGAGGAGACAAGGACCUUGGGAGACGACUGACGAUGGAGAGGCUAGCGGCGUUGAGGGUAUCGAUCCCUGCCAUCCCACUGGUGACCGAUUUGGAUAUUGUGGAGACWGUAAGGAAAGAAGAGGAGGAGAUGUUAUGUUCACCAACAGAAGCAGAGGAGGAAGUGGACUGCAAAGAUGAUUCCUGCCACUGCCAUGCACCAAUCCUGAGACUGAAGAAAGCUGUGCAAGAGAGGGAUGAGGCACUGACAAUGAGAAGUGAGACCAACCAAUCCAUUAAAGAGGACAACCUGAAGUUGAUCUCUGCGCUGCAUAGAGUGAGGAAGAAGUAACAGCUGCUGAAAAGGCAGAUGGGGAUUGUCAGAGUGAGUCCGGCAAAGAAGGSCCUCAACUUUCAGGCAGAGGCCGACACAGACACAAAGCAAGAGGAGCUGCAGCAGGACCAAGCGACAGGUUCAGGGGACCAGAGAGAGGAGCCUACAGUGUCCGGAUCUAGCUGCAAACUCAUCUUCCCRGGCUCUGCUAUGAGGAUUCAGGAAGACCUGUGAGGGCCCCAAUCCAAAUUAUAAGCUGAGGGAAAAUUGUGCCUCAAAGGUCAAGAUGGUGAUGCAAUUUUUGAACUACAUGGCCAAGAAUGAGACCUACCAGUACUCUCUCAUUUUCCUGACAGACCAUGACAAAAUAAGGCAAUGUGUUCAAUUCCUCCAGAAAAACAAGGCAAUCACCACAGUCAACCACUACACCUUGACUAUUGGUGCAUUUCUUAAAUAUACCGAGGAGACCCCUCCAGCCGGCUGACCGUAAACCAAUGGAAGGGGAUCAACCGGUUGAUGAAGGGCAUUAACAAGUCCAUGAGACGACCAGUUUCCCUUCACCACGUAAAGGUGAAGGACAACAAGGAAGGCAAGGUGGUGUCCAAAAAGAGCCUGCUGGAGUGCCAGUCUCUUGCCAAGGCAAAAAUCCUUCAAGUGCUGAGUAAGUUUUUCUCAAUCUGUGAUGUCACUGUUUUUACACACUUAUAGACAUCAGAUGUAUAGAGUGCAUUAUGGAGUAGGAUUAUGAAGCUGCCUUUUUUUAUUUUCAUAUUCCCACAAACAUUGGAAGAAACAAGGACACAGAGGAAUCAGUACCGGUUUUAUGGGUACCUGUGUGCCUACUUUACCUCCAUACACGGCCACAGACCAGGCCCGUCUAAAAACAUGUUGGUGGAGGAGGCAAAAUGUGACCAGUCUGGGGUGUAUCUGAUCAAUGUGGGGAACACAAAACUAAUCGAGAGUAUGGCUUGGUCCAGAUGUCGCUGACGAAGUAGGAGUAGAGUUGGUUUUCAGACUUCCUGAAAUUCAAACACUGUCUCUCAGGGGGAAAGAAGGCCCAGCACUUAUUUUUCAAUCCCACAAAUACUCAGCUGAAGAACCUGCCUGCCUACCUGAGGGAGGUGUGGAAGAUGGGUCUGCCCGAAAGUCCUUCCUUCACUGACCUGCGGACCUCCAUUGUCACUCAUGUCAAAAAACAUGCUCCCGAAGAUUGACAGGGAAAGGGUGGCCAACUUCAUGUGCCACAACAUCCAGACGGCAGACAAAUUUUAUGCCAUCAAUUUAAAUCCAUCCCAAGGCAAUGAAACCAGGGCACUCUGAGGCUGCACUGAAGGGUGAAGAUAUAACAGCAGAAGGUGAGARAGGACGCCUCCCUCUCCGAGGGGAGCACCACCCCUGAAGAGACCAAGGUGAUGUACCAGGAGUCUGGCACAUCCGCCAGGGACUCGGAGGAGGAGGAAGAGGAUGAAGAUGAGGAACAGACGGCCAGACAACCUCCAAAGACACCCUCCAAGGUGACCAAGCCUCAGCUGGAACUUACCCCAAAGAGGAAGCAGACGAUCCUCAGGCCCCGCAUGGUGGUGGCCGUCAGCCCCCUGCUAGUCUCACCCUUCAAAAUGAACAGCAAUUCGGCCCUCAACUCCCCCAUUGUCACAUUGCAAGGCAUGCAUCAUCUGAAUUGAAACAGUCAGACUCAAAAAAGCCAUUGCCUCAAGGAGGAUAAAGCUGCAGGAGAAGGUGCACAAGGAAAGAGGGGAGCCCUGAUGCAGCUAGAAGGAAGUGGAGCCGACCAACAAUGAGACUUCCUCUUCCCAAAGACUCUUAAAAACUGUUAGACUGUCUCACAUUUACACUGUUCUGAUUUUGUUUGGUGUGGUUUUCUAUUUUGGUGUGUGCUUGUUCAGAUUUCAAAAGUGUAAAAUUUGUAUAAUUUAGUCUAACUGUCUGUUCGAUUUUCUAUUUCUGUGUGAUUCUUUAUAAUGUCAAGGUUUGUGCUGUUUUAUUAAAUAAUUA